This 510-nucleotide ribosomal RNA is filed under the name uncultured bacterium. Its description in RNAcentral is "partial 16S ribosomal RNA". It matches the Rfam family "Bacterial small subunit ribosomal RNA", at positions 28 to 507 of the family's 1533-position model. The record is from RNAcentral.
GACGAACGCUGGCGGCGUGCUUAACACAUGCAAGUCGAACGAAGAGCGAUGGACGCUUGCUUCUAUCAAUCUUAGUGGCGAACGGGUGAGUAACGCGUAAUCAACCUGCCCUUCAGAGGGGGACAACAGUUGGAAACGACUGCUAAUACCGCAUACGAUCUAAUCUCGGCAUCGAGGAUAGAUGAAAGGUGGCCUCUACAUGUAAGCUAUCACUGAAGGAGGGGAUUGCGUCUGAUUAGCUAGUUGGAGGGGUAACGGCCCACCAAGGCGAUGAUCAGUAGCCGGUCUGAGAGGAUGAACGGCCACAUUGGGACUGAGACACGGCCCAGACUCCUACGGGAGGCAGCAGUGGGGAAUCUUCCGCAAUGGACGAAAGUCUGACGGAGCAACGCCGCGUGAGUGAUGACGGCCGUCGGGUUGUAAAGCUCUGUUAAUCGGGACGAAAGGCCUUCUUGCGAAUAGUGAGAAGGAUUGACGGUACCGGAAUAGAAAGCCACGGCUAACUACGUG